GUCAAGGGCGUCCUGUGGGCUUAGUAGGCGUGCUGCGUGGGUGCUUGAUGGCAUGCAUGGCUCAUCCGUGCUACGCCAUUGGGCGUCUACAAAAACAUGCUAGUGACGUUUUGCGGGGCGGCUGAGGCGAAGGCAGGCGAACGUCAAGGGCGUCUUAUGGACUUAGUAAGCAUACUGCGUGGGCACUUGACGGCAUGCAUGGCUCGUCCGUGCUACGCUGUGGGCGUUUACAAAAACACGCCUGCGACAUCUGCAGGGCGUUUGAGGCGGUGGCAGGCAAACGUCAUGGGCGUCCUGUGGGCUUAGUAGGCGUGCUGCGUGGGCGCUUGACGGCAUGCAUGGCUUGUCCAUGCUACGCCGUUGGGCGUUUACAAAAACAUGUCCGUGACGUCUGCAGGGCGUUUGAGGCGGUGGCAGGCGGAUGUCAUGGGCGUCCUUUGGGCAUAGUAGGCGUGCUACAUAGGCGCUUGACGACAUGCGUUGCUUGUCCGUGCUAUGCCGUUGGGCGUCAACAAAAACAUGCCAGCGACUUCUGCGGGGCAACUGAGGCGAAAGCAGGAGGACGUCAAGGGUGUCCUGUGGGCUUAGUAGGCGUGUUGUGUGGGCGCUUGACGGCAUGGUUGUUACUCCGUGCUUCGCCGUUGGGCGCUUACAAAAACACGCCACCGACAUCUGCGGGGAGACAGUGCUCCGCCGAGGGAACUUCUCAAGAUCGGUUUAUACUAGCGUUUGGUGUGGAAACGGCAAUGCUUUCGGGCGAAUGGUGAGUUCUAGAGCUCAUGUUACAGCUAACUCUAGGCAUCGCACGCACAGUGCACGUAAGGCAAUGUACAGCUACAAGGCUGUCCAGAGACGUCCACGGGAGCCUCAGGAAGAGUUAUCUUUUAUGUUUAACAACCUACCCACCCUGGAAUCGGCUCAGCCAAAAGUAGGGUCCUGCUGCUGGAAGAGCACCGCACGUCGCGUGGUGUACGGUGCACUCCCGAUGGCUUUUGAAAAUCUAGAGGACCGAAUGUCUUCCACGCCGGGUCGUACUCGUAACCGCAUCAAGUCUCCAAGGUGAACAACCUCUGGUCGAUGGAACAAUGUCGGAAAGGAAAGUCUGCAAAGUGGAUCCGUAACUACGGGAAAAGGAUUUGCUCUGAGGGAUGGGCACGUGGAUCCCAGUCCCGAACCCGUCGUUGGACUGAACGAGCUGCUCCCGCGGUGAAAGCCGGUCACCGCGUGCCGGAUUGGGGACGGACAAGGAACGGUUCCUUCGGGGGACUUCCCAGGACGUCGAACAGCCAACUCAGAACUGGUACGAACAAGGGGAAUCUGACUAUUUAAUUAAAACAAAGCAUUGCGAUGGUCCCAACGGAUGUUUACGCAAUGUGAUUUCUGCCCAGUGCUCUGAAUGUCAAAGUGAAGACAUUCAACCAAGCGCGGGUAAAUGGCUGGAGUAACUAUGACUCUCUUAUGGUAGUCAAAUGCCUCGUCAUCUAAUUAGUGACGAGCAUGAAUGGAUUAACGAGAUUUCGUGUGUGCCUUUCUACUAUCCAGCGAAACCACAACCAAUAGAACGGGCUUAGAAGAAUCAGCAGGGAAAGAAGACCCUUUUGAGCUUGACUCUAGUCCGACUUUGUCAAAUGACUUGAAAGGUGUAGUAUAGGUGGGAGCUAAAAGACGUAAGUGAAAUACCACUACUUUUAAUGUUAUUUUACUUAUUCCGUGAAUCGAAAGCGGGGCACUGCCCCUCUUUUUGGACCCAAGGCUCGCUUUGCGGGCCGAUCCAGAAAGGAGACAUUGUCAGGUGGGGAGUUUUGCUGGGACGGCACAUCUGUUAAAAGAUAAUGUAGGUGUUCUAAGAUGAGCCCAAUGAGAAAAGAAAUCUCGUGUGUAAGAGAAACGUAAAAGCUCGUUUGAUUCUGAUUUCCAGUAUGAAUACGAACCGUGAAAGCGUGGCCUAAUGAUCCUUUAGACCUUUGGAAUUCGAAGCUAAGCUUUCAGAAAAGUUACCACAGGGAUAACUUGCUUGUGGAAGCCAAGCGUUCACACCGACGUUGCUUUUUGAUCCUUCAAUGUCGGCUCGUUUGGUCACUGUGAAGCAUAAUUCACCAAAUGUUUGAUUGUUCACCCUUCAAUAGGGAACGUGAGCUGGGUUUAGAACGUCGUGAGAGAGGUUAGUUUUACCUUUGAAAAGCCAGUGGCGCGAAGCUACAGUGUGCUGGAUUAUGACUGAACGCCUCUAAAUCAGAAUCCGGACUAGAAGCGAUGCAUGCGCCCGCCGUCCGCUUGCCGACCCGUUGUAGGGGCCUAUGGCCCCCAAGGGCACGUGUCGUUGGCUAAGUCACCGCAACAUAAGCGUCGCGGUGACCGCCUUGAAGUACAAUUUCCAUGGAGCAGCGGGUAGAAUCCUUUGCAGAUGACUUAAAUACAAGACGGGGUAUUGUAAUUGGCAGAGUGGCCUUACUGCCACGAUCCACUGAGAUUCAGCCCUUUGCCGCUCCUAUUCGU
This 2496-nucleotide small RNA is filed under the name Solanum lycopersicum (tomato). RNAcentral's name for it is "eukaryotic LSU rRNA". The stretch from base 541 to 2496 matches the Rfam family "Eukaryotic large subunit ribosomal RNA". The record is from RNAcentral. Lineage: Eukaryota; Viridiplantae; Streptophyta; Magnoliopsida; Solanales; Solanaceae.